GCCUCCCAAAGUGCUUGGAUUACGUGCAUGAGCCACCGUGACCAGCUGACCAUCUCUCAUUAUUAAUAAGAACAUCACAGACAGGAUUCCACAUAUUUAUAAAAUUUCAUGUUAUCUCAAAGGUGGAGCUCCGGUUUCUUGCUGAGCCAGGAAUCACCUAUUACUAUCUGAUUUGCGGGGGACACAAAGAAGGAGGAAAAAUCACCAGGGUGAAGGAAGGCAUGAAGAGAAGGAAAAAGAAAACAAAAUGAACAGAAGAUAAAAAUCCAUGUUACAGACAUUGUACAUGAGAUGUCACAAUGCUGUAGUUCCUGGGACAAGGGAAAUCAUGGACAAAAGCUCAUUUAACCCCAGCUUUCUGCUUGGAGGCACUUCAAGACCAUCAUACAAGGAGAAUGAUCCCAAGUAAAGCGAGUGAGUUUUAUUGAAUUAAAUAGAUAUCAGAAUUUGAAGAGGAUGAAAUAGCUAGAAAUUGAAUAGCUGAGAAUGAGGUGGUUUUUCAUACACAAAACUUCAGGAAUCUUCAUAUGGACAUAAUUAGGUGAUACAGAAAACUAUGUUUGAAGGCAUUACAGAAAUUUUACAAUGUCAGGAAAAGAACAACUGAGAAUAAAUGAGCCAAAGUUUUGGAAAUGUAUACAGAGCUGGGUGACCUUCACAUUCAAACAAAGCAGAGUGAAGAAUCUUUAUCAAACUCCUCAGUCAUUAAGAAGAGACCUAGAUUGUCAUUCAGGUGAGACUUUAGUAAUAUUAAAGUAGACUUAAAAACUAAAAACCACUCUAAAACUCCUCUACCAAAGUUGAAAAUAAGUCACAAAAGGAUCAAGCUGGGUAAACUGUAGGUUAGCUGAUUGCCAGAAAAAAUAGGGACAUUCUUUGGGAUAGGGAGGAUAAUAAAAUCUGUUACACACACCAAAAAUAGAAAAAACAAAAUGCUCAAUAUUCAAUAAAAAAUCAAUAGUAAUAAAAGAAGGAAAGUAUGACCCUAAAGCAAGAGAAAAUCAGUAAAUAGAAACAGAGUCCAUAUUAUAGAAACAAACCUUAAAAAGCUAUUAUAAAUAUACUUUAUUCACUCAACAAUGUUGAAUAUAACAUUAACACAAGGAGAUAAAAUAGACCACAUCAAAAAAGCCAAGUAGAACUUCCCAAGAUAAAAACAUAUAUGAAAUUCAAUAUUCAUUGGAUGAGAUUUAGAACAUACUAUAUACACUAGAGAAAAAAGAACAGUGAAUUUACACAUAUAGAAUGAAGAGAUAAAAAUUACAGCAAAGGCCGGACAUGAUGGCUCACGCCUGUAAUCCCAGCACUUUGGGAGACUGAGGAGGGCAGAUCACGAGGUCAGGAGAUUGAGAACAUCCUGGCUAACACGGUGAAACCCCGUCUCUACUAAAAAACACAAAAAUAGCCUGGCGUGGUGGUGGGUGCCUGUAGUCCCAGCUACUGGGGAGGUUGAGGCAGGAGAAUGGCGUGAACCUGGGAGGCAGAGCUUGCAGUGAGCUGAGAUGGCACCACUGCACUCCAGCCUGGGCAGCAGAGCAAGACUCCAUCUCAAAAAAAAAAAAAAAAUUGCAGCAAAAACAACCUCAGUGAUCUCUGGAAAAAUGUUAAGUGGACUAACAGGCAUGUAACAGGAGUGCCAAGAAAAUCAACAAAACAGAAAACUAUUUGAAGAAAUAAAGAAUAAAGCUUUCAAAAUCCAAAGGAAAAUUACAGUGUCACAGAUUCAAAAUCUCAAUGAAUUCAAGACCAAUAAACACAGAGAAUAUCACCUCAAGAGACAAGACAUCACACAUAAGUUGUUAAAACCCUGUGAUAAAGAUAAUUUGUUAUAACCUUGAGAGAAAAUGAUACAUUACAAAGAAAGAAAGAUAAGAAUUUCGCUAGACUACUUAUCAUUAAUUAUCCUUGCCAGCAAUGAAAAAGCAUCUGUAAGGUUAAAAAUAAACCUAUUAAUGAUAGAUUCUAGAUAGAGUGAUAGUUGUUUUCCAGAUGAAGUAAAUGAAGACUUUAUCGCACAAUGCAAAGCCUGAGAAAAUUAAUAUACUGUGAGCAAACCUGAACUAUAAAAAUGUAAAAAAAAAAAAAUGGGGGCUGAAGGAAAAUAAUAAAAGAUGAAAACUUGGAUCAGCACAAAGGAAUAAAAAGCCCAAAGAAUGGUAACUGUCAGGGCUCUGAGCCCAAGCCAAGCCAUCGCAUCCCCUGUGACUUGCAUGUAUACGCCCAGAUGGCCUGAAGUAACUGAAGAAUCACAAAAGAAGUGAAAAGGCCCUGCCCUGCCUUAAUUGAUGACAUUCCACCAUUGUGAUUUGUUCCUGCCCCACCUUAACUGAGUGAUUAACCCUGUGAAUUUCCUUCUCCUGGCUCAGAAGCUCCCCCACUGAGCACCUUGUGACCCCCGCCCCUGCCCACCAGAGAACAACCCCCUUUGACUGUAAUUUUCCAUUACCUUCCCAAAUCCUAUAAAAUGGCCCCACCCCUAUCUCCCUUGGCUGACUCUCUUUUCAGACUCAGCCCACCUGCACCCAGGUGAAAUAAACAGCUUUAUUGCUCACACAAAGCCUGUUUGGUGGUCUCUUCACAUGGACGCGCAUGAAAUUUGGUGCCGUGACUUGGAUCAGGGGACCUCCCUUGGGAGAUCAGUCCCCUCCUCCUGCUCUUUGCUCCAUGAGAAAGAUCCACCUAUGACCUCAGGUCCUCAGACUGACCAGCCCAAGAAACAUCUCACCAAUUUCAAAUCUGGUAAGCGGCCUCUUUUUACUCUCUUCUCCAACUUCCCUCACUAUCCCUCAACUUCUUUCUCCUUUCAAUCUUGGCGCCACACUUCAAUCUCUCCCUUCUCUUAAUUUCAAUUCCUUUCAUUUUCUGGUAGAGAUAAAGGAGACAUGUUUUAUCCGUGGACCCAAAACUCUGGCGCCAGUCAUGGACUGGGAAGGCAGCCUUCCCUUGGUGUUUAAUCAUUGCAGGGACGCCUUUCUGAUUAUUCAUCCACGUUUCAAAGGUGUCAGACCACGCAGGGACGCCUGCCUUGGUCCUUCACCCUUAGUGGCAAGUCCCACUUUUCUGGGGGAGGGGCAAGUACCCCAACCCCUUCUCUCCAUGUCUCUACCCCUUCUCUGCUUUUCUGGGGGAGGGGCAAGUACCCCUCAACCCCUUCUCCUUCACCCUUAGCGGCAAGUCCCGCUUUUCUGGGGGAGGGGCAAGUACCCCAACCCCUUCUCUUGGUGUCUCUAUCCCUUCUCUGCUUUUCUGGGGGAGGGGCAAGUACCCCAACCCUUUCUCUCUGUGUCUCUACCCCUUCUCUGCUUUUCUGGGGGAGGGGCAAGUACCCCAACACCUUCUCUCCGUGUCUUUACCCCUUCUCUGCUUUUCUUGGGGAGGGGCAAGUACCCCUCAACCCCUUCUCCUUCACCCUUUGCGGCAAGUCCCGCUUUUCUGGGGGAGGGGCAAGUACCCCUCAACUCCUUCUCCUUCACCGUUAGCAGCAAGUCCCGCUUUUCUAGGGGGCAAGAACCCCCAAUCCGUUAUUCCCACACCCCGACCUCUUAUCUCUGUGCCCCAAUCCCUUAUUUCUGUGCCCCAACCCUUUCUCUGCUUUUCUGGGAGGCAACAAACCCUCACUCCUUCUCCGUGUCUCUACUCUUUUCUCUGGGCUUGCCUCCUUCACUAUGGGCAAGCUUCCACCUUCCAUUCCUCCUUCUUCUCCCUUAGCCUGUAUUCUUAAGAACUUCAGACCUCUUCAGCUCUCACCUGACCUGAAAUCUAAGCGUCUUUUUUUCUUCUGCAAUGCCGCUUGACCCCAAUACAAACUGGACAGUAGUUCCAAAUAGCUGGAAAAUGGCACUUUCAGUUUUUCCAUCCUGCAAGAUCUAAAUAAUUCUUGUCGUAAAAUGGGCAAAUGGUCUGAGGUGCCUGAUGUCCAGGCAUUCUUUUACACAUCAGUCCCUUCCUAGUCUCUGUGCCCAGUGCAACUCAUCCCAAAUCUUCCUUCUUUCCCUCCCACCUGUCCCCUCAGUCCCAACCCCAAGCAUCGCUGAGUCUUUCUAAUCUUCCUUUUCUACAGACCCAUCUGACCUCUCCCCUCCUCGCCAGGCCAAGCUAGGUCCCAAUUCUUCCUCAGCCUCCGCUCCUCCACCCUGUAAUCUUUUUAUCGCCUCCCCUCCUCACACCUGGUCUGGCUUACAGUUUCGUUCAGUGACUAGCCCUUCCCCACCUGCCCAGCAAUUUAUUCUUAAAAAGGUGGCUGGAGCUAAAGGCAUAGUCAAGGUUAAUGCUCCUUUUUCUUUAUCCCAAAUCAGAUAGCGUCUAGGCUCUUUUUCAUCAAAUAUAAAAAUCCAGCCCAGUUCAUGACUCGUUUGGCAGCAACCCUGAGACGCUUUACAGCCCUAGACCCUAAAAGGUCAAAAGGCCAUCUUAUUCUCAAUAUACAUUUUAUUGCCCAAUCUGCUCCCGACAUUAAAUAAAACUCCAAAAAUUGGAAUCUGGCCCUCAAACCCCACAACAGGACUUAAUUAACCUCACCUUCAAGGUGUGCAAUAACAGAAAAAAGUUGCAAUUCCUUGCCUACACUGUGAGACAAACCUCAGCCACAUCUCCAGCACACAAGAACUUCCAAACACCUGAACUGCAGCAGCCAGGCAUUCCUCCAGAACCUCCUCCCCCAGGAGCUUGCUACACAUGCUGGAAAUCUGCCACUGGGCCAAGGAAUGCCCACAGCACGGUAUUCCUCCUAAGCCACGUCCCAUCUGUGUGGGACCCCACCGAAAAUCGGACUGUUCAUCUCACCUGGCAGCCACUCCCAGAGCCCCUGGAACUCUGGCCCAAGGCUCUCUGACUGACUCCUUCCCAGAUCUUCUCGGCUUAGCGGCUGAAGACUGACACUGCCCGAUCACCUCGGAAGCCCCCUAACCCAUCACAGACGCUGAGAUUUGGGUAACUCUCACGGUGGAAGGUAAGCCCGUCCCCUUCUUAAUACAGAGGCUACCCAUUCCACAUUACCUUCUUUUUAAGGGCCUGUUUCCCUUGCCUCCAUAACUGUUGUGGGUAUUGACGGCCAGGCUUCUAAACCUCUUAAAACUCCCCAACUCUGGUGCCAACUUAGACAAUACUCUUUUAAGCACUCCUUUUUAGUUAUCCCCACUUGCCCAGUUCCCUUAUUAGGCUGAGACACUUUAACUAAAUUAUCUGCUUCCCUGACUAUUCCUGGACUACAGCUAUAUCUCAUUGCCACCCUUCUUCCCAAUCCAAAGCCUACUUUGCGUCCUCCUCUUGUAUCCCCCCACCUUAACACAGAAGUAUAAGAUACCUCUACUCCCUCCUUGGCAACCGAUCAUGCACCCCUUACCAUCUCAUUAAAACCUAAUCACCCUUACCCCGCUCAAUGUCAAGAUCCCAUCCCACAGCACACUUUAAAAGGAUUAAAGCCUGUUAUCACUCGCCUGCUAUAGCAUGGCCUUUUAAAGCCUAUAAACGCUUCUUACCAUUCCCCCAUUUUACCUGUCCUAAAACCAGACAAGACUUACAAGUUAGUUCAGAAUCUGCGCCUUAUCAACCAAAUUGUUUUGCCUAUCCACCCCGUGGUGCCAAACCCAUAUACUCUCCUAUCCUCAAUACCUCCCUCUACUACCCAUUAUUCUGUUCUAGAUCUCAAACAUGCUUUCUUUACUAUUCCUUUGCACCCUUCAUCCCAGCCUCUCCUUGCUUUCACUUAGACUGACCCUGACACCCAUUAGGCUCAGCAAAUUACCAAGGCUGUACUGCCGCAAGGCUUCACAGACAGCCCCCAUUACUUCAGUCAAGCCCAAAUUUCAUCCUCAUCUGUUACCUAUCUCGGCAUAAUUCUCAUAAAAACACACAUGCUCUCCCUGCUGAUCGUGUCCGAUUAAUCUCCCAAACCUCAAUCCCUUACAAAACAACAACUCCUUUCCUUCCUAGGCAUGGUUAGUGCGGUCAGAAUUCUUACACAAGAGCCAGCACCGCACCCUGCAGCCUUUCUGUCCAAACAACUUGACCUUACUGUUUUAGCCUAGCCCUCAUGUCUGCAUGCAGCGGCUGCCACUGCUUUAAUACUUUUAGAGGCCCUCAAAAUCACAAACUAUGCUCAACUCACUCUCUACAUUUCUCAUAACUUCCAAAAUCUAUUUUCUUCCUCAUACCUGACGCAUAUACUUUCUGCUCCCCGGCUCCUUCAGCUGUACUCACUCUUUGUUAAGUCCCACAAUUACCAUUGUUCAUGGCCAGGACUUCAAUCCAGCCUCCCACAUUAUUCCAGAUACCACACCUGAUCUUCAUGACUGCAUCUGUCUGAUCCACCUGAUGUUCAUCCCAUUUCCCCACAUUUCCUUCUUCCCUGCUUCUCACCCUGAUCACGCUUGAUUUACUGAUGGCAGUUCCACCAGGCCUAAUCACCAUACACCAGCAAAGGCAGGCUAUGCUAUAGUACAAGCCACUAGCCUGCCUCUUAGAACCUUUCAUUUCCUUUCCAUCAUAGAAAUCUAUCCUCAAGGAAAUAACUUCUCAGUGUUCCAUCUGCUAUUCUAUCUGCUAUUCUACUACUCCUCAAGGAUUAUUCAGGCCCCCUCCCUUCCCUACACAUCAAGCUCGAGGAUUUGUCCCUGCCCAGGACUGGCAAAUUAGCUUUACUCAACAUGCCCUGAGUCAGAUAACUAAAAUACCUCUUAGUCUAAGUAGACACUUUCACUAGAUAGGUAGAGGCCUUUCCUACAGGGUCUGAGAAGGCUACCGCAGUCAUUUCUUCCCUUCUGUCAGACAUAAUUCCUCAGUUUAGCCUUCCCACCUCUAUACAGUCUGAUAACAGACCAACCUUUAUUAGUCAAAUCAGCCAAGCAUUUUUUCAGGCUCUUAGUAUUCAGUGACAGACUAAUGGUCUAUUAAAAACACACCUCACCAAGCUCAGCCACCAACUUAAAAAGGACUGGACAAUACUUUUACCACUUUCCCUUCUCAGAAGUCAGACCUGUCCUCAGAAUGCUACAAGGUACAGCCCAUUUAAGCUCCUGUAUAGAUGCUCCUUUUUAUUAGGCCCCAGUCUCAUUCCAGACACCAGACCAACUUAGACUGUGCCCCCAAAUAACUUGUCAUCCCUACUAUCUUCUCUCUAGUCAUACUCCUAUUCACCGUUCUCAACUACUCAUACAUGCCCUGCUCUUGUUUACACUGCUGGUUUACACUGUUUCUCCAAGCCAUCACAGCUGAUAUCUCCUUGUGCUAUCCCCAAACUGCCACUCUUAACUCUUGAAGUAAAUAAAUAAUCUUUGCUGGCAGGACUAUGACGAAGCUCUGUAGGCACUCUCUAAUUAGAUGUCCUAGGUCCUCCCAAUUCUUAGUCCUUUUAUACCUGUUUUUCUCCUUCUCUUAUUCCAUUUAGUUUUUCAAUUCAUACAAAACCGUAUCCAGGCCAUCACCAAUCAUUCUAUACGACAAAUGUUUCUUCUAACAACCCCACAAUAUCACCCCUUACCACAAAAUCUUCCUUCAGCUUAAUCUCUCCCACUCUAGGUUCCCACACCACCCCUAAUCCCGCUUGAAGGAGCCCUGAGAAACAUCGCCCAUUCUCUCUCCAUACCGCCCCCCAAAAAUUGUCGCCGACCCAACGCUUCAACACUAUUUUGUUUUAUUUUUCUUAUUAAUAUAAGAAGGCAGGAAUGUCAGGCCUCUGAGCCCAAGCCAGGUCAUUGCAUCCCCUGUGACUUGCACAUAUAUGCCCAGAUGGCCUGAAGUAACUGAAGAAUCACAAAAGAAGUGAAAAGGCCCUGCCCCGC
This 7778-nucleotide long non-coding RNA is filed under the name Homo sapiens (human). RNAcentral's name for it is "HSALNT0092077". The record is from RNAcentral. Lineage: Eukaryota; Metazoa; Chordata; Mammalia; Primates; Hominidae.